This 2093-nucleotide unclassified non-coding RNA is filed under the name uncultured fungus. RNAcentral describes it as "sequence contains 18S rRNA gene, ITS1, 5.8S rRNA gene, ITS2, 28S rRNA gene". The stretch from base 868 to 2093 matches the Rfam family "Eukaryotic large subunit ribosomal RNA", at positions 1 to 961 of the family's 3401-position model. Lineage: Eukaryota; Fungi. The record is from RNAcentral.
AGCAGGAUCAUUUCCAAUAUUGAAGUGGUUUCUGGAAUCCUGUGAGAGAUGGAUGGGUCAGUGAUAGGUCUGGGGAAACCUAUGAAGAAGUCAUAGGCAGGCUGCUGUGCUGUGUCAAACCCAUCUGUAGAGAGACAGGCAGAAACAAGACUUGUCAUCUUGGAUGAAUGACUCAAAAAAGUCAUCGAGAAUGAAUGACUGAGUGCCCGGAUUGAAACCGCAGAGACACAACCGGGACAGCGAGCGGCGCCCAUGAAAAACUACCCAGCAUUGGAAAGGUAGGAGCCACCCCCAAUUAUUAUUUACCAAAUGGCAUUUCCCAGUGGAUCUCUUGGCUUGUGGAUUGAGGAAGACCGCGGCAAAAGGCGAUACUCGUAAUGAAUUGCAGAAUACCGCGAAUUAUGGGACGUUGAACGCACACUGCACCGUUUGGGCUAUCCCUUCGGUAUAUAUCGCUCAGUGCGUAUUUCAACAUCAUAACCAUCAAUCAUUUGGACUUCAUUGUUCAUCUGAUGCCUGGUGGUUUGAAUACGGACUCUUGCUUGAUUCACUUCAAGCCAUUGUCUCAGAUGGAGAGCAAAUCUGAUGGCCUCUUUACAUCUGUUAAUCUUGAACAGAGUACUGAAGAGGUAUUGGGGGCCUUGGGACAGGAGAGUGUUUACACUCAGACUGUGUGAAGGUCUAAAGUCGUUCGGUUAGUGUUUGGUUUGUUAUUGAAUGGAGAUACCUCGUGUAACCCUUCUUUCUUUCGACUGAACCACACUGUGCCUUUUGAACGCAGCUCAACUCCAAGAGGUGUGAUACCCUUUUGGUGAGUGGGUAGUGUUGGGUCGGACUAACAAUCCGUGUCAACAGCUAUCUCAACCUUGCGCCUGAGUGAUGUAAAAUUACGGGCUGAACUUAAGCAUAUCAAUAAGCCCAGGAAAAGAAAGCAACUGCGAUUGCACUAGUAACGGCGAGUGAAAAUGCAAAAGCCCAUCCCUGAAUCGAUGGCGGACGCAAGCAGAAACCAUCGAACUGUAGGGUAAGCACCUGUGGGUAAGAGACAUGUGGGGGUAAAAUUGCUUGGAAUAGCAUACUAUGAAGCGUGACAGUCGCGUUACGCCCCUUCCAUCGUUUCACCAACGCUCACGGGCUGCAAGAGUCGGGCUGUUUGGGACUGCAGCUCUAAAUGUCGGAUAUACCCCCGACAAGGCUAAAUACUACCACAAGACCGAUAGCGAACAAGUAGAGUGAUCGAAAGAUGAAAAGAACUUUGAAAAGAGAGUUAAAAGUGCGUGAAACUGGGGAGUGGUAAGGUAUUGGGAUCCAUCGACUGUUGCAAUCCCCCGGGGUUACAACAUGGUAGAAAGGCGUAGUUGGCACACCGGUUUGGGUGAAGCUUCGGGCCGAGGCUCUAAGUUCCCUUUUCUCGAGUUGUUGGCUGCGUCGUAAAGCAAUCUGAGGCCGUCAGGUGUUCUGCAGUAGCCGAUAUGUGAAUGUAGCGUAUAGAUCUUCGGAUCUGUGCCUAUUGAGUGUACCGGUUGCUGUAGUGUGUUUGAUACACUCAGAUUAAUUCUGCCUAGAAUGGUCUUAAUACACCAGUCUUGAAACACGGACCAAGGAGUCUACAGUUGCAGCGAGCAUUAUGGUGAUUGAAACCAUAACUGCGAAUUGAAAGAAAUUAGGAUACGAUCCGAAAGGUGCAGUAUCGUCCGUCACCGAUCAAUUGGAAAGGUGUAUGAGAUCAAGCUGUAGCUUUGGGACCCGAAAGAUGGUGAUCUUUUCCUGAAGAGGUCGAAGGCGGACGAAAGUUUGCUGGAGGACCGUGUUAUUGUUACGGUCAAUUGCUGUGGUAUCAGUAGAGAAAGACUGAUAAGCAAAGAGAUUAAUAAUCAAGACACUCAAACUAUGACAUGAUCAUGUCAUAGCCAAUUGAGACUCUCAAUUGGUCCAACGACUUAACAAGUGUCAUACUCUGAGAGUAUUGAUAUAAAGUCUACAGGUCUAAUGAGAAUAGACUUGAAAGGUAGCUGUACUGACGUGCAAAUCGUUUGUCGGAUUUGGGUAAAGGGGCGAAAGACUCAUCGAACUAUCUAGUAGCUGGUUCCCUC